GAUGAACGCUAGCGGCAGGCCUAAUACAUGCAAGUCGAACGGUAAGGCCCUUUCGGGGUACGCGAGUGGCGGACGGGUGCGUAACGCGUAUGCAACAUACCUUCAAGCGGGGGAUAUGCCAGGGAAACUUGGUGCAACACCCCAUAGCAUUUCGGGACCGCAUGGUCUUGGGAUUAAAUAUUUAUAGCUUGGAGAUUGGCAUGCGUGACAUUAGCUAGUUGGCGGGGUAACGGCCCACCAAGGCGACGAUGUCUAGCUGGUCUGAGAGGAUGAUCAGCCACACUGGGACUGAGACACGGCCCAGACUCCUACGGGAGGCAGCAGUAGGGAAUAUUGGACAAUGGGGGGAACCCUGAUCCAGCCAUGCCGCGUGAGGGAAGAAGGUCCUCUGGAUUGUAAACCUCUUUUGGCGGGGGACAAACCUGCACUAUACGUGCAGCUGAGGGUACCCGCAGAAUAAGCACCGGCUAACNCCGUGCCAGCAGCCGCGGU
This 492-nucleotide ribosomal RNA is filed under the name uncultured bacterium. RNAcentral's name for it is "bacterial SSU rRNA". It matches the Rfam family "Bacterial small subunit ribosomal RNA", at positions 28 to 521 of the family's 1533-position model. The record is from RNAcentral.